This 604-nucleotide long non-coding RNA is filed under the name Sorghum bicolor (sorghum). RNAcentral describes it as "long non-coding RNA (SBIC_LNC004742)". Lineage: Eukaryota; Viridiplantae; Streptophyta; Magnoliopsida; Poales; Poaceae. The record is from RNAcentral.
GAGCUGCUGUUUAUCUUGUUCCUACUACACUAAGCUCUGGAGAUUUAUUUUGAAAACUAGCAAAUCACAUGAUGAGUUCCUAGCAUGAUAAAAUUCCUAUCACAACCAUACUUGCUAUAACAUCUUUUGCUAGUUAUAUUCACAUUAAGUUUGAUCGAGCUGUAUAGACCCUUAGGAUCUUUUCAUGUGGUUAAAUUAAGAUAUUCACUUGCACACAUCUACUACAUCAUCCACCACCAUUCAUUAAAAUUGCUAAAAAUAUUAUCACUCACUGUCCCAAGUGUUGUUAUUCUCUCUCUCCAAAAAGAUUCAAUGCAGAAGAGGCAUGGGUUAUGCAAAAAUAUGUGAGGAAAUAAAAAGGGGCAAGUGCCCGGAACCUCGAAAAAGAAAGAAAAAAGAGUGAGACGAGAGGUAAAAAUGGACAAGUGUCCGGAGUAGAAUUAGGGGUACAAAGAUGCCCACUUGAGCCGAAAAAAUGGACAAGUGUCCGACAGUAGAAUUAGGGGUUUUUACUACCCACCUGAAAAAAAAGAGAUAAGAAGAAGAAGAAGAAGAGAUAGCCCAUGUUCUCCCAAAGCAAAGUUCAAAGAAGAGGAGAGAUAGC